CCUACGGGUGGCAGCAGUGAGGAAUAUUGGUCAAUGGCCGGAAGGCUGAACCAGCCAAGCCGCGUGAAGGACGAAGGUGCCAAGCAUUGUAAACUUCUUUUGUCAAGGGACAAAAUCAGGCUCGAGAGCCUGACCGAGGGUACUUGAAGAAAAAGCAUCGGCUAACUCCGUGCCAGCAGCCGCGGUAAUACGGGGGAUGCGAGGGUUAUCCGGAUUUAUUGGGGUUAAGGGGUGCGUAGGUGGACUGUUAAGUCAGCGGUAAAAGCCCGGGGCUCAACCCCGGCGAGCCGUUGAAACUGGCGGUCUUGAGAUGUCGAGAGGUAUGCGGAAUGCGCAGUGUAGCGGUGAAAUGCGUAGAUAUCACGAAGAACUCCGAUUGCGAAGGCAGCAUACCGGCGCCCAACUGACGCUGAGGCACGAAAGCGUGGGUAUCAAACAGGAUUAGAUACCCGUGUAGUC
Molecule: ribosomal RNA, 459 nt
Filed under: uncultured bacterium
Lineage: Bacteria
Description: partial 16S ribosomal RNA
Rfam family: Bacterial small subunit ribosomal RNA
Source: RNAcentral